UGGGGAAUAUUGCACAAUGGAGGGAACUCUGAUGCAGCGACGCCGCGUGAGUGAUGAAGGACUUCGUUUCGUAAAACUCUGUUCUAUGGGAAGAAAAGGACUGUACCAUAGGAGAAAGCUCCGGCUAAAUACGUGCCAGCAGCCGCGGUAAUACGUAUGGAGCGAGCGUUGUCCGGAAUUAUUGGGCGUAAAGGGUGCGCAGGCGGCUUUACAAGUUGGAUGUGAAAUAUUGUGGCUCAACCACAAACGUGCAUCCAAAACUGCAAAGCUUGAGUUAAGGAGAGGUAAGUGGAAUUCCUGGUGUAGCGGUGGAAUGCGUAGAUAUCAGGAAGAAUACCGGUGGCGAAGGCGACUUACUGGACUUAAACUGACGCUCAGGCACGAAAGCGUGGGGAGCAAACAGG
This 404-nucleotide ribosomal RNA is filed under the name Fusobacteriota bacterium. Its description in RNAcentral is "Fusobacteria bacterium partial 16S ribosomal RNA". It matches the Rfam family "Bacterial small subunit ribosomal RNA", at positions 355 to 776 of the family's 1533-position model. The record is from RNAcentral. Lineage: Bacteria; Fusobacteriati; Fusobacteriota.